This 74-nucleotide transfer RNA is filed under the name bioreactor metagenome. RNAcentral's name for it is "tRNA-Arg". The record is from RNAcentral.
GCUGGUGGCGGGGCUGGUCUCGCGCCUGCCCGCUUUCGAGGCGGGCGCAGGUCUGUUCAGUCUGACCGACAGCC